This 1152-nucleotide long non-coding RNA is filed under the name Lactuca sativa (garden lettuce). RNAcentral's name for it is "long non-coding RNA (LSAT_LNC003598)". Lineage: Eukaryota; Viridiplantae; Streptophyta; Magnoliopsida; Asterales; Asteraceae. The record is from RNAcentral.
AACUUACUCCACAGUUCCCUAUAGUUUAGGACUAAUUUUGAGACUUUCUGGCAAGAAUAGGAUUCUCCAGGGAGAUUUUUUUAGCGAUAGGAGGUUGAAAUUAAGAGCAUGAGUUUGUCCGCGAUGAGGAGAGGAAGAGAAAAGUGACAGCGAUUUGGAGAUUGGAAUGGUGGUGGAGGCUAUAACAGUCAUUUUCUGAUGAGGGUGGGUGUACGCCAACGAGGAUUUCCGACGGAUCUAUAGAGUAAGGUUGGAUGUGUUGUGGUCGCAAGGGUGGGGUGAAUCCAAUGGAGUCCUCAAUUUGUGGUUUAGAAGCGGUUUAAAGGGUCGAUUUUGAAGUUAUAGGUGGUUGUGGCGGUGACUAUAGUUUAGGACUAAUUUUAAGACUUUCUAGCGAGAAUAGGAUUCUCCAGGGAGAUUUUUUUUAGCGAUAGGAGGUUGAAAUUAAGAGCAUGAGUUUGUCCGCGAUGAGGAGAGGUAGAGAAAAGUGACAGCGAUUUGGAGAUUGGAAUGGUGGUGGAGGCUAUAACAGUCAUUUUCUGAUGAGGGUGGGUGUACGCCAACGAGGAUUUCCGACGGAUCUAUAGAGUAAGGUUGGAUGUGUUGUGGUCGCAAGGGUGGGGUGAAUCCAAUGGAGUCCUCAAUUUGUGGUUUAGAAGCGGUUUAAAGGGUCGAUUUUGAAGUUAUAGGUGGUUGUGGCGGUGACUAUAGUUUAGGACUAAUUUUAAGACUUUCUAGCGAGAAUAGGAUUCUCCAGGGAGAUUUUUUUUAGCGAUAGGAGGUUGAAAUUAAGAGCAUGAGUUUGUCCGCGAUGAGGAGAGGUAGAGAAAAGUGACAGCGAUUUGGAGAUUGGAAUGGUGGUGGAGGCUAUAACAGUCGUUUUCCGAUGAGGGUGGGUUUACGUCAACGAGGAUUUCCGGCGAAGCUAGAGAGUAAGGUUGGAUGUGUUGUGGUCGCAAGGGUGGUGUGAAUCCAAUGGAGUCCUCAAUUUGUGGUUUAGCAGGGGUUUAAAGGGUCGAUUUGGAAGUUAUAGGUGGUUGUGGCGGUGACUAUAGUUUAGGAUUAAUUUUAAGACUUUCUGGCGAGAAUAGGAUUCUCUAGGAAGAUUUUUUUAGCGAUAGCAGGUCGAAAUUAAGAGCAUGAGUUUGUCCG